Molecule: ribosomal RNA, 67 nt
Filed under: Symbiodinium sp. clade D ex Pteraeolidia ianthina
Lineage: Eukaryota; Dinophyceae; Suessiales; Symbiodiniaceae
Description: partial 5.8S ribosomal RNA
Source: RNAcentral
AACCAAUGGCCCCCUGAAAGCGCAUUGCACUCUUGGGACUUCCUGAGAGUAUGUUUGCUUCAGUGCU